Molecule: unclassified non-coding RNA, 432 nt
Filed under: soil metagenome
Description: partial contains 5.8S ribosomal RNA, internal transcribed spacer 2, and large subunit ribosomal RNA
Rfam family: 5.8S ribosomal RNA (bases 1-120)
Source: RNAcentral
GAUGAAGAACGCAGCGAAAUGCGAUACGUAAUGUGAACUGCAGAAUUCAGUGAAUCAUCGAAUCUUUGAACGCAUAUUGCGCUCUCUGGUAUUCCGGAGAGCAUGCUUGUUUGAGUAUCAGUAAACACCUCAACUUCCAUAUCUUUUUUGAAAUGGGAGUUGGACUUGAGUGAUCCCAACGCUUUUCCUCACCGAAAAGUGGCGGGUUACUUGAAAUGCAGGUGCAGCUGGACUUUUCUCUGAGCUAUAAGCAUAUCUAUUUAGUCUGCCUAAAAAACAGAUUAUUACCUUUGCUGCAGCUAACAUAAAGGAGAUUAGUUCUUGUGCUGACUGAUGCAGGAUUCACAAAAACGGCUUCGGCCGACUUUGUAAACUCGAUCUCAAAUCAAGUAAGACUACCCGCUGAACUUAAGCAUAUCAAUAAGCGGAGGA